GAACUCUGCUUCCAGUUUAACACCAUCAUAUAAAAUAAGAGGGAGUAUUAUUUAUUAGCUACCAAUAUAUGACACCUCCAUUUCAAAAAUACCACCAGAUAUAGAGGUUCUUUUGUGUUAUAAACUUGAUGCAAAUUCAUUCUUCAGGUAAAAACAGUAUAGAUAGAAACUGAUUACACACCCCUUCAGAGUAAGAAUUUAGUGUAUGUAACAUUAUCUAAAGCUAGAAUCGCACGGCGGUACAAUAAACCAAUAAUCUAGAAGUGUAUAUACAUAGGUAAAAGACGGGAAACUACAGUCAAUGAUAGAUUGAUGAUAUUUGCAUGCAAAAAAUGUCUAAAGAUGUCCACAUAAUUUUCUCUUUUCUCCUUAAUUUCAUAAACCACAAUUGCUUUCAGAAUGAGUGGUGUAGACAAACCAAAAUGUGAUGCUGCAGGCAUGACAAACCUUUCUGAUUCUGAUUGAUACUCCUAAUUUCUCCUCUUGUCAAAAGAGGUGCCUCAAGUUUCAUCAAUUUGGUGAACUGCAGGAGACAAUAGAGUCCUAAUUUCUCCUCUUGUCAAAAGAGGAGCCUCAAGUUUCAUCAAUUUGGUGAACUGCAGGAGACAAUAGAAAGAUGCAGCAGAAAAAAG
Molecule: long non-coding RNA, 632 nt
Filed under: Nicotiana benthamiana
Lineage: Eukaryota; Viridiplantae; Streptophyta; Magnoliopsida; Solanales; Solanaceae
Description: long non-coding RNA (NBEN_LNC031680)
Source: RNAcentral